RNAcentral lists this ribosomal RNA (251 nucleotides) under uncultured Bartonella sp. RNAcentral's name for it is "partial 16S ribosomal RNA". It matches the Rfam family "Bacterial small subunit ribosomal RNA", at positions 524 to 774 of the family's 1533-position model. The record is from RNAcentral. Lineage: Bacteria; Pseudomonadati; Pseudomonadota; Alphaproteobacteria; Hyphomicrobiales; Bartonellaceae.
UCCUCCUUUUUCUAGCGUUGUUCGGAUUUACUGGGCGUAAAGCGCACGUAGGCGGAUAUUUAAGUCAGAGGUGAAAUCCCAGGGCUCAACCCUGGAACUGCCUUUGAUACUGGAUAUCUCGAGUAUGGAAGAGGUGAGUGGAAUUCCGAGUGUAGAGGUAAAAUUCGUAGAUAUUCGGAGGAACACCAGUGGCGAAGGCGGCUCACUGGUCCAUUACUGACGCUGAGGUGCGAAAGCGUGGGGAGCAAACA